UGCGGGGUGGAGCAGUUUGGUAGCUCGUCGGGCUCAUAACCCGAAGGUCAUAGGUUCAAAUCCUAUCCCCGCUU
RNAcentral lists this transfer RNA (74 nucleotides) under Coxiella endosymbiont of Amblyomma americanum. Its description in RNAcentral is "tRNA-fMet (CAT) (tRNA-fMet-CAT-1-1)". It matches the Rfam family "tRNA". Rfam says of the family: Transfer RNA (tRNA) molecules are approximately 80 nucleotides in length. Their secondary structure includes four short double-helical elements and three loops (D, anti-codon, and T loops). Further hydrogen bonds mediate the characteristic L-shaped molecular structure. tRNAs have two regions of fundamental functional importance: the anti-codon, which is responsible for specific mRNA codon recognition, and the 3' end, to which the tRNAs corresponding amino acid is attached (by aminoacyl-tRNA synthetases). tRNAs cope with the degeneracy of the genetic code in two manners: having more than one tRNA (with a specific anti-codon) for a particular amino acid; and 'wobble' base-pairing, i.e. permitting non-standard base-pairing at the 3rd anti-codon position. Lineage: Bacteria; Pseudomonadati; Pseudomonadota; Gammaproteobacteria; Legionellales; Coxiellaceae. The record is from Rfam by way of RNAcentral. RNAcentral also lists the same sequence under 1 other name.